Molecule: unclassified non-coding RNA, 358 nt
Filed under: soil metagenome
Description: partial contains 5.8S ribosomal RNA, internal transcribed spacer 2, and large subunit ribosomal RNA
Rfam family: 5.8S ribosomal RNA (bases 1-120)
Source: RNAcentral
GAUGAAGAACGCAGCGAAAUGCGAUAAGUAAUGUGAAUUGCAGAAUUCAGUGAAUCAUCGAAUCUUUGAACGCACAUUGCGCCCGUCAGUAUUCUGGCGGGCAUGCCUGUUCGCGCGUCAUUACGCCCCUCAAGUCCCCUGUGGACUUGGUGUUGGGGAUCGGCGAGGCUGGUUUUCCAGCACAGCCGUCCCUUAAAUUAAUUGGCGGUCUCGCCGUGGCCCUCCUCUGCGCAGUAGUAAAACACUCGCAACAGGAGCCCGGCGCGGUCCACUGCCGUAAAACCCCCCAACUUUUUAUAGUUGACCUCGAAUCAGGUAGGACUACCCGCUGAACUUAAGCAUAUCAAUAAGCGGAGGA